Molecule: ribosomal RNA, 497 nt
Filed under: uncultured bacterium
Lineage: Bacteria
Description: partial 16S ribosomal RNA
Rfam family: Bacterial small subunit ribosomal RNA
Source: RNAcentral
GAUGAACGCUGGCGGCGUGCCUAAUACAUGCAAGUCGAGCGAACGGACGAGAAGCUUGCUUCUCUGAUGUUAGCGGCGGACGGGUGAGUAACACGUGGAUAACCUACCUAUAAGACUGGGAUAACUUCGGGAAACCGGAGCUAAUACCGGAUGAUAUCUUGAACCGCAUGGUUCAAAAGUGAAAGACGGUCUUGCUGUCACUUAUAGAUGGAUCCGCGCUGCAUUAGCUAGUUGGUAAGGUAACGGCUUACCAAGGCAACGAUGCAUAGCCGACCUGAGAGGGUGAUCGGCCACACUGGAACUGACACACGGUCCAGACUCCUACGGGAGGCAGCAGUAGCGAAUCUUCCGCAAUGGGCGAAAGCCUGACGGAGCAACGCCGCGUGAGUGAUGAAGGUCUGCGGAUCGUAAAACUCUGUUAUUAGGGAAGAACAUAUGUGUAAGUAACUGUGCACAUAUUGACGGUACCUAAUCAGAAGGCCAGGGCUAACUACGUG